This 238-nucleotide long non-coding RNA is filed under the name Mytilus galloprovincialis (Mediterranean mussel). Lineage: Eukaryota; Metazoa; Mollusca; Bivalvia; Mytilida; Mytilidae. The record is from RNAcentral.
AGUUAUUGUUGCAAACUCCAUUAGAAAUUUGAAUUGAUAUCAGUUUUGAAAAAGGGAAACGGGGAUGUGAAAAAAAAGGGGGGGGGGUAAAUUUUUCUUCAUUCACAUUUCAUAAAUAAAAAGAAAAUUUCUUCAAACAUUUUUUUGAGAGGAUUAAUAUUCAACAGCAUAGUGAUUUGCUCAAAGGCAAAAAAAACCUUUUAAGUUCAUUAGACCACAUUCAUUCUGUGUCAGAAAC